This 431-nucleotide ribosomal RNA is filed under the name uncultured bacterium. RNAcentral describes it as "bacterial SSU rRNA". It matches the Rfam family "Bacterial small subunit ribosomal RNA", at positions 355 to 776 of the family's 1533-position model. The record is from RNAcentral.
UGGGGAAUAUUGGACAAUGGGGGCAACCCUGAUCCAGCAAUUCCGCGUGUGUGAAGAAGGCCCGAGGGUUGUAAAGCACUUUCAGUAGCCAAGAUGGGGUCUUACACUAAUAUUGUAAAGAUCUUGACAUUAACUACAGAAGAAGCACCGGCUAACUCCGUGCCAGCAGCCGCGGUAAUACGGAGGGUGCAAGCGUUAAUCGGAAUUACUGGGCGUAAAGAGUACGUAGGCGGCUUUUCAAGUCGGGUGUGAAAUCCCUGAGCUUAACUCAGGAACUGCAUUCGAUACUGAAUCGCUAGAGUAUAUUAGAGGAUAGUGGAAUUUCAAGUGUAGCGGUGAAAUGCGUAGAUAUUUGAAGGAACACCAAUGGCGAAGGCAGCUAUCUGGAAUAAUACUGACGCUGAGGUACGAAAGCGUGGGGAGCAAACAGG